RNAcentral lists this ribosomal RNA (191 nucleotides) under uncultured bacterium. Its description in RNAcentral is "partial 16S ribosomal RNA". It matches the Rfam family "Bacterial small subunit ribosomal RNA", at positions 1309 to 1500 of the family's 1533-position model. The record is from RNAcentral.
AACCCGACUACACAAGCUGGAAUCGCUAGUAAUCGCGGAUCAGAAUGCCGCGGUGAAUACGUUCCCGGGUCUUNUACACACCGCCCGUCACACCAUGGGAGUCGGAAAUGCCCGAAGUCGGUGACCGAACCGAGAGGAAGGAGCCGCCGAAGGCAGGUCUGGUGACUGGGGUGAAGUCGUAACAAGGUAGC